RNAcentral lists this transfer RNA (66 nucleotides) under Fissurella volcano. RNAcentral describes it as "tRNA-Phe". It matches the Rfam family "tRNA". Rfam says of the family: Transfer RNA (tRNA) molecules are approximately 80 nucleotides in length. Their secondary structure includes four short double-helical elements and three loops (D, anti-codon, and T loops). The record is from RNAcentral. Lineage: Eukaryota; Metazoa; Mollusca; Gastropoda; Lepetellida; Fissurellidae.
GUUUUAAUAGCUUAAGGAGAGCGUGGCUCUGAAGAUGCUAAGGUAGAAGUUAACUUUUUUAAAACA